CAAGUGGAUGCUUUCUCACAUUGAAGAUGCUCAUUAUGAUCUAAGAAAGCCGGUCUUUUUCACUGAAUAUGGAUUCUCUAAUCUGACCAAUGACUUCCAGCAUUCUCAACGUGAGCAGUUUUACAAAACUGUUUUAGACAUUAUCUAUAAAUCCGCAAAGAGAAAACGAGCUGGUGCAGGUGCAUUGGUCUGGCAAUUGUUUGU
RNAcentral lists this unclassified non-coding RNA (204 nucleotides) under Hevea brasiliensis (rubber tree). Lineage: Eukaryota; Viridiplantae; Streptophyta; Magnoliopsida; Malpighiales; Euphorbiaceae. The record is from RNAcentral.